UCAAUUAGUUCAAAUAGUACAUCCAGACCAAACAUUCUAAAUGCCAAACCAUUAUAAACAAUCCCAAUCUAGUUUUACUUAACAAACAUAAAUAUUGCAAAAUAUAUACAAUUUUUCAAUAACUCUUCAAGACUUGCAUUCUGCCAUACAAUUAUAGAUGAAUAUAUUACUAUCCUUAAUUCAUUUAACGUUCCAGACCAAACAAUAUCCUUAAUUUAACACUUAUAUCAUCAUUCUUUCCACCCUUAAUCCAAUUUCAGAAUUCAUCAUUAAUUUCAAGCAAUACCUAAUUCUCAAUUCCACCCAACCACCAUUCAUCCUUCUUCAUUAAAACCAAUCAUAUCAUUUAAUAUACUACCACACCCAAUUGUUUACUGGUCUAUAAUAUUGAGAAGAUUCCAUGUGUUACCAACAUACAUUACCAUUUUAAUCUGAAUGAUAGAAAUAGCCCUAUAAGCUUUGGCCCAAAUACUGAUGUGUUGAAUGAGCCUAGUGAUUCCAGCAGAGGG
Molecule: long non-coding RNA, 509 nt
Filed under: Vigna radiata
Lineage: Eukaryota; Viridiplantae; Streptophyta; Magnoliopsida; Fabales; Fabaceae
Description: long non-coding RNA (VRAD_LNC001948)
Source: RNAcentral